RNAcentral lists this ribosomal RNA (253 nucleotides) under uncultured bacterium. RNAcentral describes it as "partial 16S ribosomal RNA". It matches the Rfam family "Bacterial small subunit ribosomal RNA", at positions 524 to 776 of the family's 1533-position model. The record is from RNAcentral.
UACGGAGGAUGCAAGCGUUAUCCGGAAUGAUUGGGCGUAAAGCGUCCGCAGGUGGCGAUGUAAGUCUGCUGUUAAAGAGUCUAGCUCAACUAGAUAAGAGCAGUGGAAACUACAUAGCUAGAGUACGUUCGGGGCAGAGGGAAUUCCUGGUGUAGCGGUGAAAUGCGUAGAGAUCGGCAGGAACACCCAGGGAGAAAUCAGCCGCCUGGGCAAGUGCUGACGCUGAGGUGCGAAAGCGUGGGGAGCGAACCGG